Molecule: small nuclear RNA, 105 nt
Organism: Amblyraja radiata (thorny skate)
Lineage: Eukaryota; Metazoa; Chordata; Chondrichthyes; Rajiformes; Rajidae
Source: RefSeq, a predicted model, not a curated record
UUUUUCAUUCUGAAUAAAGUAUAUUUUUGGAAAAAAAUACAGAGAAGAUUAGCAUGGCCCCUGCACAAGGAUGACAUGCAAAUUCGUGAAGUGUUCCAUAUUCUA